AUGAACGGAUGUAGCGCCACUGCUGUUCUUCGUUGAGAAAAUUAUAAACAGCUGAUCAGCUGAACGCCAGAACGUAAUAACAACAUAGAACGGCUGGCUAUGUCCCUCCCACCAACAGUAGCUCGCGCCCCCGCGAACGUUUUGGUUGUAAGUGAUGGGCGUGACGCUCGGAUAGCGAGGCCAACUGCCAAGACCAAGCCUUAAGUUAUCGUUGCUGACGCAGCAGUUGAAAAGUCUGCAGGGAUGGGUAGUUCGUGAAUUGGCUCUUUUAAGUGAACUCAUAGACAAAUAUACUAUAAACUGAACUGAACGAGCUGAAUCAGUGUGCCAUAGUAAUAUGACUCAAUGACUUAGCGUGGCUACUAAGAAUUGAAUUUAGUUUAAAACGUCUUAUCAAUAAAUUCUGAAUCAUGUGAAUUAUGAUUUGAUUCUUUAUCAAGGUUUAUCAUUUUUUAUAGGUUAUUUAAUAUUUUAUUUGUUAAUAACUCUUCAUGAUCCAGUGAUAACUGAUAUAACAUAUUACCAUUAGUGUUAUGUGAAUUUGUACAAAUUGUAACCUAAAUAUAAUUAAAUUUAUAUUUCAUUUCAAAAUGUGAAGUCUACAUUAACUCGUCACGGAUGAGUGUGAUUAUUACUUAAAAGUUAUAACUUUUAAAUUGAGAUUAAUAAUUGAUUUUUUAAAUUAUCAUUUUCAAUUAUAAUUAGAUAAAAAAAAUUUGAGAUGGAAUUUCUGAAGACAAAGUGGUUUGGCAAUUUAUGAGAUUAGAUGUUGAAACAGUUGUACUCUAAAAAUAUAUAUGUUUACUAAUUAGUAAUAUAAAUAUUUACUUAUUUUUCUACUGUAUGUAUAAAUUAAUUAAUAAUAAUCAAAUAUUAAAUAUGAAAACGAUUAUAUGUUUUUUAAUUGAAAUUGUAACAUAUAUAUAUAUAUAUAUAUGGUAGUCAGAUAUAAGAAUAUGUCAAUAGUACACAUUAAAAUGAAACUUUUCAUCAUAAAAAAAUCUUUUUGGUAAAUAUUCUAAUUUAUAUAUUGAUUAAGAGAGGUUAAAUUAUUAACUGUGUGUAUCUUUUUGAUGGAUUUUGGGUGACAUUUAUAAAUGAUGAAUUUACAAUUAUAAAAUAAGCUAUAUCCUUUUAUUAAUAAUUAAAGGAAAGUAUAAAUAUUUGAAUUAAUUUUUAAAAGUGAAAAAUGAUUUAAUUGUUUGCUUAUUAAAAUAACAAUUAAUAUCUAUAGUAAUGUGCCUUAUUGUUGACUGUUAUGAUGUGACUAAUUGCUUUGUUAAUAAUUGUAAAAAAAAAUACAGUUAGGUAAUAUUAUUAACUAGGUGCAUGCCCAGUAAGAAAAGCUUUAAGUAGGUAUACUGUACGAAAUAUACAAUAAGUCUGAUAAAGAAUUAAAAAAUAACUCAAUAAAAAUGAAAAAUUUACUAACAUGCUUUUAGAAUUUUACAUGUAUUUAACACUGUUUUUAAUUUAAAGAAGUAUUCUCAUAUGAAAAAAAAUAUAUCUGGUAACCAUAAUUAAUUAUGCAUAUAAUAUAAUGAAUUUUUUUUAGCAAAAUUAAUCUGCCUAUAAUAGCACCUAUCUAUAGGUUUAACUUACAGAAGUAGAAGUUGAUGAACCAAUACCUGGGUCAUCAAUCAUCUCUUCUAUUACACGAGACAUUCUAUUUAAAAAAAUUGCUAAAGGAUUCUUAGAUUUAAUAUGUCUAACUAAAUUUGAAGUUGAAGAAUGAUUAUUUUUUAAUUUUAUAUGACAACGUCUACACUUUACAUGAAUAUUAUCUGCAUCGAGUUGAAAAAAAUCCAUUUAAUAUUAAAUAAAAAUAAUAAAUAUUUUAAUAUGAAAUAAAAUACCUUUGUAAAUUAUAUAAAGUGUUUCACAAUUUUCGAUUUUGUGCACAAGAUUUACUGUGAUCACAAGAAACAGCAUUGAUACAAUGAGUAAAAUUUUAAAUAAAUGAGACUAAAUUAUACAUAAUAUAUCAGUUUUUAGAACAAUAUUCAUUCAAGAAGAGACCUGUAAUUGCACGCAAGCAAAUUUUGAAAUGUAUGAAAGAAAUCUUUUAUUCUCACCGCAUACACCAAACAUUGAUGUUGCAGAGAGGUCACGAUUGAGAUCUAAAUAUUGUCCUUAUCAAAGAUGACCGACGACACGUGUAAGUAUGACUGACGCCAGACUUCCGUGACUUUUUACUGUAUUCGCUUUAUAACGCGUCUUAAACAAGUACUCUUUCAACCAUCACUUUUUCUCGGCGCACUUAUGAGUAAUCAUCUUUUUUGAAAAUUAUGGAGAGCUCAAAUUUUAAACAGGUAAAUAGUAAAAUUUACUCUUAAUUCUUUUAAAACCUUAGUCAACUAUUCAUCCUAGUAAAGAUCACCAUUCUCAAAUUUACAAGUACAGCACUUGAUUUAUACAUAAAGUCUAUUAGCAUACAGAGCGUAUAUGGAAUGUAGGGGAACUUGCGUAAAUUUAAAACUUCCGAACAAAUUUUGGUCAAAUUGCCCUAAUUUAAUGUAAAUGCUCCAGGACCUAAUGACCUUCAAGUACUUUGUGUACUUUAAUACAAGAUAUGAAAUAACUUUCGGAAGUUAAAUGAGAACCUAUUAUUUUUUGUUAUUAUUAAACAGAAAAUGGUCUAAAUAAAUAAAAUUAUGACUAGUCGAUAACCAGUUUUAUAUUCUUAAUUUUUGAGAUAUUAGCAUUUAAAGAUUUAUUAAAGUUGAGGAGCGGGGUAGUAUUUAGCGACUCCUAGUUUUACCAUGACGCAUANUUAACAAAUUUUCCAUGUUGAGUUGCCCACUCAUCUAUAACUAAAAAAGUAAUAAUACAAUACAGAUUAUCCACUGGUCAACUUCAAUUUGACCAUUUCCCAAUAAAAAAUAAUUGGUCCCCAUUUAACUUUCGCAAUUUACCCCUAACAUAAGCCCUUAAAAAUAAUUUUAUUUUAUAAUAAAUACAAUAUUUAGUAUGAUUUAUAAAAAUAAAUCAAAUUUUAAUCUGUAAUUUUGUCAAAAAAUUCAACGAAAAAAUGGGGGCAAGUAUACUUAAUAAAUCAAACUGUUUAUAAUGUAUAUA
Molecule: long non-coding RNA, 3078 nt
Organism: Daktulosphaira vitifoliae (grape phylloxera)
Lineage: Eukaryota; Metazoa; Arthropoda; Insecta; Hemiptera; Phylloxeridae
Exons: 4
Source: RefSeq, a predicted model, not a curated record